UGGGGAAUAUUGCGCAAUGGGGGGAACCCUGACGCAGCCAUGCCGCGUGAAUGAAGAAGGCCUUCGGGUUGUAAAGUUCUUUCGGUAUUGAGGAAGGUUGAUGUGUUAAUAGCACAUCAAAUUGACGUUAAAUACAGAAGAAGCACCGGCUAACUCCGUGCCAGCAGCCGCGGUAAUACGGAGGGUGCGAGCGUUAAUCGGAAUAACUGGGCGUAAAGGGCACGCAGGCGGUUAUUUAAGUGAGGUGUGAAAGCCCUGGGCUUAACCUAGGAAUUGCAUUUCAGACUGGGUAACUAGAGUACUUUAGGGAGGGGUAGAAUUCCACGUGUAGCGGUGAAAUGCGUAGAGAUGUGGAGGAAUACCGAAGGCGAAGGCAGCCCCUUGGGAAUGUACUGACGCUCAUGUGCGAAAGCGUGGGGAGCAAACAGGAUUAGAUACCCUGGUAGUCCACGCUGUAAACGCUGUCGAUUUGGGGAUUGGGCUUAGAGCUUGGUGCCCGUAGCUAACGUGAUAAAUCGACCGCCUGGGGAGUACGGUCGCAAGGUUA
This 547-nucleotide ribosomal RNA is filed under the name uncultured bacterium. RNAcentral's name for it is "bacterial SSU rRNA". It matches the Rfam family "Bacterial small subunit ribosomal RNA", at positions 355 to 896 of the family's 1533-position model. The record is from RNAcentral.